Molecule: ribosomal RNA, 497 nt
Filed under: uncultured bacterium
Lineage: Bacteria
Description: partial 16S ribosomal RNA
Rfam family: Bacterial small subunit ribosomal RNA
Source: RNAcentral
GACGAACGCUGGCGGCGUGCCUAAUACAUGCAGGUUGAGCGCUGAAGGUUGGUACUUGUACCAACUGGAUGAGCAGCGAACGGGUGAGUAACGCGUGGGGAAUCUGCCUUUGAGCGGGGGACAACAUUUGGAAACGAAUGCUAAUACCGCAUAAAAACUUUAAACACAAGUUUUAAGUUUGAAAGAUGCAAUUGCAUCACUCAAAGAUGAUCCCGCGUUGUAUUAGCUAGUUGGUGAGGUAAAGGCUCACCAAGGCGAUGAUACAUAGCCGACCUGAGAGGGUGAUCGGCCACAUUGGGACUGCGACACGGCCCAAACUCCUACGGGAGGCAGCAGUAGGGAAUCUUCGGCAAUGGACGAAAGUCUGACCGAGCAACGCCGCGUGAGUGAAGAAGGUUUUCGGAUCGUAAAACUCGGUUGGUAGAGAAGAACGUUGGUGAGAGUGGAAAGCUCAUCAAGUGACGGUAACUACCCAGAAAGGGACGGCUAACUACGUG